UUUGAUGUGAAUGGAUUAUGUUUAGAUAUACUCAUUUAAAAGUGAUUCUUUCGAGUUGAUGUUGUUUGGAUAG
Medicago truncatula (barrel medic) is the source of this 73-nucleotide microRNA precursor. It matches the Rfam family "MIR5272 microRNA precursor family". Lineage: Eukaryota; Viridiplantae; Streptophyta; Magnoliopsida; Fabales; Fabaceae. The record is from Rfam.